CAGAAAAUAGUUUAAUAAAAAUAAUAAUUUUGGAGAUUAUUGAUAAGAGUUUAAAUACUUUUUUCUGA
RNAcentral lists this transfer RNA (68 nucleotides) under Tomostethus sp. 1 QHW-2022a. RNAcentral's name for it is "tRNA-Pro". Lineage: Eukaryota; Metazoa; Arthropoda; Insecta; Hymenoptera; Tenthredinidae. The record is from RNAcentral.